CCUACGGGUGGCAGCAGUGAGGAAUAUUGGUCAAUGGACGAGAGUCUGAACCAGCCAAGUAGCGUGAAGGAUGACUGCCCUAUGGGUUGUAAACUUCUUUUAUAAAGGAAUAAAACGAGGCACGUGUGCCUUUUUGCAUGUACUUUAUGAAUAAGGAUCGGCUAACUCCGUGCCAGCAGCCGCGGUAAUACGGAGGAUCCGAGCGUUAUCCGGAUUUAUUGGGUUUAAGGGGAGCGUAGAUGGGUUGUUAAGUCAGUUGUGAAAGUUUGGGGCUCAACCGUAAAAUUGCAAUUGAUACUGGCAGUCUUGAGUACAGUUGAGGAAGGCGGAAUUCGUGGUGUAGCGGUGAAAUGCUUAGAUAUCACGAAGAACCCCGAUUGCGAAGGCAGCUUACUAAACUGUGACUGACAUUGAUGCUCGAAAGUGUGGGUAGCAAACAGGAUUAGAUACCCGUGUAGUC
RNAcentral lists this ribosomal RNA (460 nucleotides) under uncultured bacterium. RNAcentral's name for it is "partial 16S ribosomal RNA". It matches the Rfam family "Bacterial small subunit ribosomal RNA", at positions 338 to 795 of the family's 1533-position model. The record is from RNAcentral.